CUUGUACUCCCUCCGUCCGAAAAUACUUGUCAUUGAAAUGGAUGUAUCUAGAUGUAUUUUAGUUCUAGACACAUCCAUUUUGAUGACAAGUAAUUCCGAACGGAGGGAGUACUUG
Triticum urartu is the source of this 115-nucleotide non-coding RNA. NCBI's taxonomy places the organism in Eukaryota, Viridiplantae, Streptophyta, Magnoliopsida, Poales, Poaceae. The record is from Rfam.